RNAcentral lists this ribosomal RNA (651 nucleotides) under uncultured Sebacina. RNAcentral's name for it is "eukaryotic LSU rRNA". The stretch from base 237 to 390 matches the Rfam family "5.8S ribosomal RNA". Lineage: Eukaryota; Fungi; Basidiomycota; Agaricomycetes; Sebacinales; Sebacinaceae. The record is from RNAcentral.
CUUGGUCAUUUAGAGGAAGUAAAAGUCGUAACAAGGUUUCCGUAGGUGAACCUGCGGAAGGAUCAUUAGUGAUUAAACUGUUGCCCUCUGUGCUGGCUCUGCAAGUGCACGUCGGUGACUUUCAUUCCAAUACCCUUGUGAACCUUUGGCCUCUUGCUAGCUUCGGCUGGCAGAGGAUUCUACAUACAAACUCGCAUGUAAUGAAACUCUUGUUGUGCACAAGCACUACUAUAUACAACUUUCAACAACGGAUCUCUUGGCUCUCGCAUCGAUGAAGAACGCAGCGAAAUGCGAUAAGUAAUGUGAAUUGCAGAAUUCAGUGAAUCAUCGAAUCUUUGAACGCACCUUGCACCCUUUGGCAUUCUGAAGGGUAUGCUCGUUUGAGUGUCAUUGUACUCUCACACUUCCGAUCUUGCAUUGGGAGCGGUGGACUUGGGUUUGCUGCCUUACCGUAGCUUACCUCAAAUGUGUUAGUGCAACUCUUGGUUGGACAUAGUACGGCGUGAUAAGUAUCUUCGCCGGUGCCUCGCAAUUGCGAGGGUGGCCGAUCGGGAUGUUGUGCUCCAAACCGUCUUCGGACAAUCUCUGACAACUUGACCUCAAAUCGAGUAAGACUACCCGCUUUACUUAAGCAUAUCAAUAAGCGGAGGA